Long non-coding RNA from Haemorhous mexicanus (house finch), 488 nucleotides. RefSeq lists it as uncharacterized. Lineage: Eukaryota; Metazoa; Chordata; Aves; Passeriformes; Fringillidae. The transcript is spliced from 2 exons. The record is from RefSeq and is a predicted model, not a curated record.
ACUGCUGUUUGCUCAGGCAAGGAGCUUGACUCAGAUGUUGAUGUGUAUUAUGUUUUUUUAUCUUGCAGGCCAGAGCCUUAUGAGACCUUUUUUCCUCCCUCAAUAUACACAAACAGCAACAGAGCCCAGUGUGGCUAAAAUGGUUGCUGUCAUUAGAUGUGAGGGAUGCUCUGCUGCACUAUUGAAUGUCAGGCAUGCUGCUAUAAAGAGGCUGUGCAACAGUUUUAUCACUGAGAGGCAGCAUGUGUGGAAUACUAAGAGAUACAGCUCCUGAUGAAUUUACCUCGGUCCUACCAUUUUGAAUACUGCUGUUCACUGUUUUACCUCCAUUCUCUAAAAAUCCUGUCUUCAUUCAUGAUCAACCACUGUGUUUUGUGAUAGGAAUCGUUCCAGUUAGGUUUGGCUAUGUCUGUCAGCUUGCCUCCAGGUACCGUUACUCUCACCCAGUUCUCUGUGCAAUAAAUGUGACCUUUAAAGCCCUCUUCUAA